Molecule: long non-coding RNA, 682 nt
Organism: Lathyrus oleraceus (garden pea)
Lineage: Eukaryota; Viridiplantae; Streptophyta; Magnoliopsida; Fabales; Fabaceae
Exons: 2
Source: RefSeq, a predicted model, not a curated record
UUUAUAAACAUUAUUGUUGUUUAUGAAUAAAAUGAUGUGGGCCUCAAUAUAAAUAUCUUCCUCUUCCACCAACAUGUUCAUCAACUAUUUUUUCUUGUUUCACUUCAUAUUGUUAUGAUGUUUCUUGACAUGAUUUAACUAUCUCACCACUAUAUUAUAAACAAUUGAAAGAGAAGCAAUGCUUCUAACAAGGGACUCAAAAGAAGAUGAAAGUAUCAAAAUUGUUGAAGGUUAAGUUCUACACUGCAAAACCUUCUAAAAUAAACACUUGUUAAACCUUAUUAUCACUACAGAACAAAACCCACUAAACCCAGCAUGACUUCACCAUGUUUCCACUAUUAUUUUGUUCAAAAACAAAUAGGGUUUCAACUUGGGUUAUGUAAUGACAUACUUGAAUCUAAAAAAAAAAAUCAUAUCAAAGUGAACUUAUCAAACAAAGUUACAAAAAACUUCCAACAAGUUGCUGGCACAUGGUGAUCAUAUCUUGGAUGAGAACAACAAAAUAUUCCUAGGUUGCAAAGUGAAGUUAAUAGAAAAAGUAAACUCCCAAAUAUUUAGUUCUGUUAUUUGAACAAAUAAAUCAGACACUUUUGCAAUAGCAAUUUAAGUUGUUAAGUUAGCACAUUUCAAUUAGAUGAUAUUACAUUAAAUAGAUUUUUAAUGAAUAUACCGGAUGUCAAAA